AAAGCUCGUAGUUGGAGUUCAGGGUGAGCUCAGCUGGUCGGCCUAAUGGGUCAGAACUGGUUGACUCUCCCUUGGUUGUGGAUCCCUCCGGAGUCAAUUCUUCGGGUGUGGAGUCCACAUCGUUUACCUUGAAAAAAUUAGAGUGUUCAAAGCAGGCGUUUGCUUGAAUAUAUUAGCAUGGAAUAAUGGAAUAGGACGCUGGUUCUAUUUUGUUGGUUUUGAGAACCAGAGUAAUGAUUAAUAGGGACAGUUGGGGGCAUUCAUAUUUCAUUGUCAGAGGUGAAAUUCUUGGAUUUAUGAAAGAUGAACUUCUGCGAAAGCAUUUGCCAAGGAUGUUUUCAUUAAUCAAGAACGAAAGUUAGGGGAUCGAAGACGAUCAGAUACCGUCGUAGUCUUAACCAUAAACUAUGCCGACUAGGGAUUGGGCGUGGUUUGUUCAUUGACCCGCUCAGCACCUUACGAGAAAUCAAAGUCUUUGGGUUCCGGGGGGAGUAUGGUCGCAAGGCUGAAACUUAAAGGAAUUGACGGAGGGGCACCACCAGGAGUGGAGCCUGCGGCUUAAUUUGACUCAACACGGGAAAACUUACCAGGUCCAGACAUAGUAAGGA
RNAcentral lists this ribosomal RNA (608 nucleotides) under uncultured eukaryote. Its description in RNAcentral is "SSU rRNA". It matches the Rfam family "Eukaryotic small subunit ribosomal RNA", at positions 623 to 1239 of the family's 1831-position model. The record is from RNAcentral.